GACGAACGCUGGCGGCGUGCUUAACACAUGCAAGUCGAACGGAAAGGCCCUGCUUUUGUGGGGUGCUCGAGUGGCGAACGGGUGAGUAACACGUGAGUAACCUGCCCUUGACUUUGGGAUAACUUCAGGAAACUGGGGCUAAUACCGGAUAGGAGCUCCUGCUGCAUGGUGGGGGUUGGAAAGUUUCGGCGGUUGGGGAUGGACUCGCGGCUUAUCAGCUUGUUGGUGGGGUAGUGGCUUACCAAGGCUUUGACGGGUAGCCGGCCUGAGAGGGUGACCGGCCACAUUGGGACUGAGAGACGGCCCAGGCGGCUACUGGAGGCAGCAGUGGGGAAUAUUGCACAAUGGGCGGAAGCCUGAUGCAGCAGCCCCGCGUGCGGGAUGACGGCCUUCUGGUUGUAAACCGCUUUCGCCUGUGACGAAGCGUGAGUGACGGUAAUGGGUAAAGAAGCACCGGCUAACUACGUG
This 468-nucleotide ribosomal RNA is filed under the name uncultured bacterium. RNAcentral describes it as "partial 16S ribosomal RNA". It matches the Rfam family "Bacterial small subunit ribosomal RNA", at positions 28 to 507 of the family's 1533-position model. The record is from RNAcentral.